Molecule: ribosomal RNA, 711 nt
Filed under: Virgibacillus sp. WJ3-2
Lineage: Bacteria; Bacillati; Bacillota; Bacilli; Caryophanales; Bacillaceae
Description: bacterial SSU rRNA
Rfam family: Bacterial small subunit ribosomal RNA
Source: RNAcentral
CGAGCGGCGGACGGGUGAGUAACACGUGGGCAACCUGCCUGUAAGACUGGGAUAACCCCGGGAAACCGGGGCUAAUACCGGAUAACACUUUUCGUUGCAUAACGAGAAGGUGAAAGGCGGCCUUUUGGCUGUCACUUACAGAUGGGCCCGCGGCGCAUUAGCUAGUUGGUAGGGUAACGGCCUACCAAGGCAACGAUGCGUAGCCGACCUGAGAGGGUGAUCGGCCACACUGGGACUGAGACACGGCCCAGACUCCUACGGGAGGCAGCAGUAGGGAAUCUUCCGCAAUGGACGAAAGUCUGACGGAGCAACGCCGCGUGAGUGAUGAAGGUUUUCGGAUCGUAAAACUCUGUUGUUAGGGAAGAACAAGUGCCGUUCAAACAGGGCGGCACCUUGACGGUACCUAACCAGAAAGCCCCGGCUAACUACGUGCCAGCAGCCGCGGUAAUACGUAGGGGGCAAGCGUUGUCCGGAAUUAUUGGGCGUAAAGCGCGCGCAGGCGGUCCUUUAAGUCUGAUGUGAAAGCCCACGGCUUAACCGUGGAGGGCCAUUGGAAACUGGAGGACUUGAGUACAGAAGAGGAGAGUGGAAUUCCACGUGUAGCGGUGAAAUGCGUAGAGAUGUGGAGGAACACCAGUGGCGAAUGCGACUCUCUGGUCUGUAACUGACGCUGAGGUGCGAAAGCGUGGGGAGCGAACAGGAUUAGAUACC